CCUACGGGUGGCAGCAGUGGGGAAUAUUGGACAAUGGGGGGAACCCUGAUCCAGCCAUGCCGCGUGUGUGAAGAAGGCCCUCGGGUUGUAAAGCACUUUCAGUGAGGAAGAACGCCUGGUGGUUAAUACCCAUCAGGAAAGACAUCACUCACAGAAGAAGCACCGGCUAACUCCGUGCCAGCAGCCGCGGUAAUACGGAGGGUGCGAGCGUUAAUCGGAAUUACUGGGCGUAAAGCGCGCGUAGGUGGCUUGAUAAGCCGGUUGUGAAAGCCCCGAGCUCAACCUGGGAACGGCAUCCGGAACUGUCAAGCUAGAGUGCAGGAGAGGAAGGUAGAAUUCCCGGUGUAGCGGUGAAAUGCGUAGAGAUCGGGAGGAAUACCAGUGGCGAAGGCGGCCUUCUGGACUGACACUGACACUGAGGUGCGAAAGCGUGGGUAGCAAACAGGAUUAGAUACCCCUGUAGUC
RNAcentral lists this ribosomal RNA (465 nucleotides) under Vreelandella stevensii. Its description in RNAcentral is "partial 16S ribosomal RNA". It matches the Rfam family "Bacterial small subunit ribosomal RNA", at positions 338 to 795 of the family's 1533-position model. Lineage: Bacteria; Pseudomonadati; Pseudomonadota; Gammaproteobacteria; Oceanospirillales; Halomonadaceae. The record is from RNAcentral.